RNAcentral lists this ribosomal RNA (301 nucleotides) under uncultured bacterium. RNAcentral describes it as "partial 16S ribosomal RNA". It matches the Rfam family "Bacterial small subunit ribosomal RNA", at positions 509 to 807 of the family's 1533-position model. The record is from RNAcentral.
CAGCAGCCGCGGGAAAACGAAGGGUGCAAGCGUUACUCGGAAUUACUGGGCGUAAAGCGUGCGUAGGUGGUGGUUUAAGUCCGUUGUGAAAGCCCUGGGCUCAACCUGGGAAUUGCAGUGGAUACUGGGUCACUAGAGUGUGGUAGAGGAUAGUGGAAUUUCCGGUGUAGCAGUGAAAUGCGUAGAGAUCGGAAGGAACAUCUGUGGCGAAGGCGACUAUCUGGGCCAACACUGACACUGAGGCACGAAAGCGUGGGGAGCAAACAGGAUUAGAUACCCCGGUAGUCCCUGUCUCUUAUAC